AUGGAUCAUCAAAUCCCAGAGGGUUUCAAACCCGUAAAUAUAGAAUCAUACAACAGCACAACAGAUCCUGUGGUAUGGAUCGAGGAUUUUCUCCUGCAUAUCCACAUGGCACGCGGUGAUGAUCUACAUGCCAUUAAAUAUCUCCCACUCAAACUCAAAGGACCAGCUCGGCAUUGGCUCAAUAGCUUGCCAGCAGAGUCCAUUGGCUGUUGGGAGGAUCUGGAAGCCGCAUUCCUCGACAAGUUUCAGGGCACUUAUGUGCGACCACCAGAUGCCGAUGACUUGAGCCACAUAAUUCAGCAACCAGAGGAAUCGGCCAGGCAAUUCUGGACACGGUUCCUAACAAAGAAAAAUCAAAUUGUCGACUGUCGAGAUGCAGAGGCUCUAGCAGCUUUCAAGCACAACAUCCGCGAUGAGUGGCUAGCCCGGCACCUUGGUCAGGAAAAGCCGAAAUCUAUGGCAGCCCUCACGACACUCAUGACCCGCUUUUGUGUGGGAGAAGACAGCUGGCUGGCUCGCAGUAAUAACAUAUCAAAAAACCAUGGUACUUUGGUUACCAAGGACGGCAAUAGCAGGUCACGUCGCGACAAACAUAAGCGCCACAUUAACAGCGACAAUACCGAGGAUACGACAGUCAAUGCCGGAUUCAAAGGCUCUAAACCCGGUCAGCAGAAAAAGCCAUUCAAAAGAAGCACUCUGGGCCCGUCCAGUUUGGACUGUAUACUCAAUCGCUCGUGUCAAAUACACGGCACCCCCAACAAGCCAGCCAACCACACCAACAGGGAUUGUUGGGUGUUCAAGUAG
This 804-nucleotide ribosomal RNA is filed under the name Triticum aestivum (bread wheat). RNAcentral's name for it is "partial small subunit ribosomal RNA". Lineage: Eukaryota; Viridiplantae; Streptophyta; Magnoliopsida; Poales; Poaceae. The record is from RNAcentral.